AUUAAAAGUGUUCUGAAUCGGGAAAUGUCUUGCAAACAGAACAUCUCUGAACAAAUAAAACUUUUAAUUAACCUUUUUAACCGUAAAGUCGUAAUAUGUUAUAAACAAUCAUCGAAAAUCCAGCGCAAAACCGCAUCCACACUGACUUCCGGGAUAAAUAAUGACGUACAAAUGAAAAACAGAUUUCUUUUUUCAACUAUGAACAUAUAUAUAUCUAAAAUGCAAGCAAUCUGGAUGUGCUUCUUAUUUUUCAGUUAAGGAACAAUGCAUUCUUCAAAACUGAUAUGGCUUGUAUACUUCAUUUUUGUAUAUAUAACUGCUUGCAGAGGAAACUUUGUAAAGCCAAAACCAGCUGCUAAUGUAAAUGAACCACAGCAAAUCCACAUUGGCUUUGGUCAGCGAUUAACUGACAUAAUUAUUUUAUGGUCAACUAAAAACAAUGAUUCAUCAGUCGCAGAAUAUUAUACAGGAAACACAAAUUCAAAGG
This 487-nucleotide long non-coding RNA is filed under the name Mytilus galloprovincialis (Mediterranean mussel). The record is from RNAcentral. Lineage: Eukaryota; Metazoa; Mollusca; Bivalvia; Mytilida; Mytilidae.